AGGACGUGCAAAAAGCUGGCCAUUCAUGGACUGCAAAGAUCAAUCCGAAUUUGUAGCUUUACACGACUUGGUGAGAGCAUCGAAUUACACGUUUUCUGCGUGGGGAUUUUUCGAAAUCAACAACUCACUCAUAUUUUCGGUGGCUAGCGGCAUCAUCAGUUAUGUGUUCGUUAUCGCACAGUUAAAAUGAAAUAAAAUAAUUGUAUAGUAUUUG
This is a long non-coding RNA of Cloeon dipterum, 214 nucleotides long. RefSeq lists it as uncharacterized. The transcript is spliced from 3 exons. Lineage: Eukaryota; Metazoa; Arthropoda; Insecta; Ephemeroptera; Baetidae. The record is from RefSeq and is a predicted model, not a curated record.